AUUGAACGCUGGCGGCAUGCUUUACACAUGCCAGUCGAACGGCAGCGCGGGGCCACCUGGCGGCGAGUGGCGAACGGGUGAGUAAUAUAUCGGAACGUACCCAGAAGUGGGGGAUAACGUAGCGAAAGUUACGCUAAUACCGCAUACGAUCUACGGAUGAAAGUAGGGGACCGCAAGGCCUUAUGCUUUUGGAGCGGCCGAUAUCUGAUUAGCUAGUUGGUGAGGUAAAGGCUCACCAAGGCGACGAUCAGUAGCUGGUCUGAGAGGACGACCAGCCACACUGGAACUGAGACACGGUCCAGACUCCUACGGGAGGCAGCAGUGGGGAAUUUUGGACAAUGGGCGCAAGCCUGAUCCAGCAAUGCCGCGUGAGUGAAGAAGGCCUUCGGGUUGUAAAGCUCUUUUGUCAGGGAAGAAACGGUAGAGGCUAAUAUCCUUUGCUAAUGACGGUACCUGAAGAAUAAGCACCGGCUAACUACGUG
RNAcentral lists this ribosomal RNA (482 nucleotides) under uncultured bacterium. RNAcentral's name for it is "partial 16S ribosomal RNA". It matches the Rfam family "Bacterial small subunit ribosomal RNA", at positions 30 to 507 of the family's 1533-position model. The record is from RNAcentral.